AUGGCCUCCCGACGGCUUCGGAGUUGGCGGCCGCGAGGAACUAGUGGCUGGGCUACGCGCCGGACCUCCGUGUUGCGGUGGAGCAUGGUGACCGGGGUGUCGGGGAGAGGCGCCGGUCUCUUCUCCGCUACCGCCUCCGUCAAUAUAUCUCCAUCUCCAUAUUGUUCCUCAUUGACAUGUAAUGGACUGCAAGCUUCUAUGUGUUGUGACAUCGGUAAUGGUCAGACAAGCACUGGUGCCUGGUUCUCAUGGAAUGAGAUCAACCCGUACGACGGGAUCCUGAACCUCAAACCACCUGACUUCACUACCCUCCUAACCAUCAUGAACGGUGAAGGAUAUUGGUCUGAGGUUGCGGCGCGCCAUGGCAGCAUCGCUCACCUCCAGGAUGCUGCAUUUGCCCCACUAUUGCACUUCAUGAACAACCUCGGGCCGCAUAACGCCGAAGACGACCCCUACAACGAGCUCAAUGUGUUGCUCAAGGAAGAUGUUGGCGAGAAGAAUGGUAGAGAUGCAUGUGCCACCGAUGAGGAUUUGGCUAUGGAAUUUCUUGUGGAUGAUUCUGAAUGA
Molecule: ribosomal RNA, 567 nt
Filed under: Triticum aestivum (bread wheat)
Lineage: Eukaryota; Viridiplantae; Streptophyta; Magnoliopsida; Poales; Poaceae
Description: partial small subunit ribosomal RNA
Source: RNAcentral